AAGCGAUUUCCUAGUACCGCAGCUAACGCGUGAAGUGAUCCGCCUGGGGAGUACGGUCGCAAGAUUAAAACUCAAAGGAAUUGACGGGGACCCGCACAAGCGGUGGAUGAUGUGGAUUAAUUCGAUGCAACGCGAAAAACCUUACCUACCCUUGACAUGUACGGAAGCCCGGUGAGAGCCGGGUGUGCCCGAAAGGGAGCCGUAACACAGGUGCUGCAUGGCUGUCGUCAGCUCGUGUCGUGAGAUGUUGGGUUAAGUCCCGCAACGAGCGCAACCCUUGUCUCCAGUUGCUACGCAAGGGCACUCUGGAGAGACUGCCGGUGACAAACCGGAGGAAGGUGGGGAUGACGUCAAGUCCUCAUGGCCCUUAUGGGUAGGGCCUCACACGUCAUACAAUGGCCGGUACAGAGGGUUGCCAAGGCGCGAGCUGGAGCCAAUCCCAGAAAGCCGGUCGUAGUCCGGAUUGCAGUCUGCAACUCGACUGCAUGAAGUCGGAAUCGCUAGUAAUCGCGGAUCAGCAUGUCGCGGUGAAUACGUUCCCGGGUCUUGUACACACCGCCCGUC
RNAcentral lists this ribosomal RNA (564 nucleotides) under uncultured bacterium. Its description in RNAcentral is "bacterial SSU rRNA". It matches the Rfam family "Bacterial small subunit ribosomal RNA", at positions 830 to 1398 of the family's 1533-position model. The record is from RNAcentral.